AGAGUUUGAUCAUGGCUCAGGAUGAACGCUGGCGGUCUGCUUAACACAUGCAAGUCGAACGGAAUCUUUCGGGAUUUAGUGGCGGACGGGUGAGUAACGCGUGAGAAUCUGCCUUCAGGUUCGGGACAACAGUUGGAAACGGCUGCUAAUACCGGAUGUGCCGAGAGGUGAAAGCUUAAGUGCCUGGAGAUGAGCUCGCGUCUGAUUAGCUAGUAGGAGUGGUAAUGGCACCCCUAGGCGACGAUCAGUAGCUGGUCUGAGAGGAUGAUCAGCCACACUGGGACUGAGACACGGCCCAGACUCCUACGGGAGGCAGCAGUGGGGAAUUUUCCGCAAUGGGCGCAAGCCUGACGGAGCAAGACCGCGUGAGGGAAGAAGGUCUGUGGAUUGUAAACCUCUUUUGAUAGGGAAGAAGACAGUGACGGUACCUAUCGUAUCAGCUCGAUUGGGCCG
Molecule: ribosomal RNA, 453 nt
Filed under: uncultured cyanobacterium
Lineage: Bacteria; Bacillati; Cyanobacteriota
Description: bacterial SSU rRNA
Rfam family: Bacterial small subunit ribosomal RNA
Source: RNAcentral